CCUACGGGUGGCAGCAGUAGGGAAUCUUGCUCAAUGGGGGAAACCCUGAAGCAGCAACGCCGCGUGGAGGAUGAAGGUUUUCGGAUCGUAAACUCCUUUUGUUAGAGAAGAUAAUGACGGUAUCUAACGAAUAAGCACCGGCUAACUCCGUGCCAGCAGCCGCGGUAAUACGGAGGGUGCAAGAGUUACUCGGAAUCACUGGGCGGAAAGAGCGCGUAGGCGGGAUAGCAAGUCAGAUGUGAAAUGCUAUGGCUUAACCAUAGAACUGCAUUUGAUACUGUUAUUCUAGAGUAUGGGAGAGGUAGGUGGAAUUCUUGGUGUAGGGGUAAAAUCCGUAGAGAUAAGGAGGAAUACUCAUUGCGAAGGCGACCUGCUAGAACAUAACUGACGCUGAGGCGCGAAAGCGUGGGGAGCAAACAGGAUUAGAUACCCCUGUAGUC
RNAcentral lists this ribosomal RNA (440 nucleotides) under uncultured bacterium. RNAcentral describes it as "partial 16S ribosomal RNA". It matches the Rfam family "Bacterial small subunit ribosomal RNA", at positions 338 to 795 of the family's 1533-position model. The record is from RNAcentral.